This 245-nucleotide ribosomal RNA is filed under the name uncultured Saccharofermentans sp. RNAcentral describes it as "partial 16S ribosomal RNA". It matches the Rfam family "Bacterial small subunit ribosomal RNA", at positions 796 to 1041 of the family's 1533-position model. The record is from RNAcentral. Lineage: Bacteria; Bacillati; Bacillota; Clostridia; Eubacteriales; Oscillospiraceae.
CACGCCGUAAACGAUGAAUACUAGGUGUAGGGGGUAUCGACUCCCUCUGUGCCGCAGCUAACGCAAUAAGUAUUCCACCUGGGGAGUACGGCCGCAAGGUUGAAACUCAAAGGAAUUGACGGGGGCCCGCACAAGCAGUGGAUUAUGUGGUUUAAUUCGAAGCAACGCGAAGAACCUUACCAGGACUUGACAUCCCUUGACCGCUAUAGAGAUAUAGUUUCCCUUCGGGGCAAGGAGACAGGUGG